This 64-nucleotide transfer RNA is filed under the name uncultured eukaryote. The record is from RNAcentral.
CAGAGUAACUUAAGAGAAAUAAAAUGUAAAAUACUUCAGCGAAAAAAAAACUUUUACAAAAAGU